Molecule: non-coding RNA, 28 nt
Filed under: Homo sapiens (human)
Lineage: Eukaryota; Metazoa; Chordata; Mammalia; Primates; Hominidae
Source: RNAcentral
UGGCCAAAGUCAGUCUAUCCUCAGCAGC